Molecule: ribosomal RNA, 1403 nt
Filed under: Burkholderia sp. IO2
Lineage: Bacteria; Pseudomonadati; Pseudomonadota; Betaproteobacteria; Burkholderiales; Burkholderiaceae
Description: partial 23S ribosomal RNA
Rfam family: Bacterial large subunit ribosomal RNA
Source: RNAcentral
AGCUUUGAUCCGUAGAUGUCCGAAUGGGGAAACCCACUCCUUUUGGAGUAUCCAUGGCUGAAUACAUAGGCCAUGCGAAGCGAACGCGGUGAACUGAAACAUCUAAGUAACCGCAGGAAAAGAAAUCAACCGAGAUUCCCAAAGUAGUGGCGAGCGAAAUGGGAUGAGCCUUGCACUCUUUAUUUGUAUUGUUAGCCGAACGCUCUGGAAAGUGCGGCCAUAGCAGGUGAUAGCCCUGUAGGCGAAAACAGUAUGAAAGAACUAGGUGUGCGACAAGUAGGGCGGGACACGUGAAAUCCUGUCUGAAGAUGGGGGGACCAUCCUCCAAGGCUAAAUACUCGUGAUCGACCGAUAGUGAACCAGUACCGUGAGGGAAAGGCGAAAAGAACCCCGGGAGGGGAGUGAAAUAGAUCCUGAAACCGCAUGCAUACAAACAGUCGGAGCCUCGUAAGGGGUGACGGCGUACCUUUUGUAUAAUGGGUCAGCGACUUACGUUCAGUAGCAAGCUUAACCGUAUAGGGCAGGCGUAGCGAAAGCGAGUCCGAAUAGGGCGUUCAGUUGCUGGGCGUAGACCCGAAACCAGGUGAUCUAUCCAUGGCCAGGAUGAAGGUGCGGUAACACGUACUGGAGGUCCGAACCCACUAACGUUGAAAAGUUAGGGGAUGAGCUGUGGAUAGGGGUGAAAGGCUAAACAAACCUGGAAAUAGCUGGUUCUCUCCGAAAACUAUUUAGGUAGUGCCUCGUGUCUCACCUUCGGGGGUAGAGCACUGUCAUGGUUGGGGGGUCUAUUGCAGAUUACCCCGCCAUAGCAAACUCCGAAUACCGAAGAGUGCAAUCACGGGAGACAGACAUCGGGUGCUAACGUCCGGUGUCAAGAGGGAAACAACCCAGACCGCCAGCUAAGGUCCCCAAAUAUAGCUAAGUGGGAAACGAAGUGGGAAGGCUAAAACAGUCAGGAGGUUGGCUUAGAAGCAGCCACCCUUUAAAGAAAGCGUAAUAGCUCACUGAUCGAGUCGUCCUGCGCGGAAGAUGUAACGGGGCUAAGCUAUAUACCGAAGCUGCGGAUGCGUGCUUAGCACGCAUGGUAGGAGAGCGUUCCGUAAGCCUGCGAAGGUGCCUUGUAAAGGGUGCUGGAGGUAUCGGAAGUGCGAAUGCUGACAUGAGUAGCGAUAAAGGGGGUGAAAGGCCCCCUCGCCGUAAGCCCAAGGUUUCCUACGCAACGUUCAUCGGCGUAGGGUGAGUCGGCCCCUAAGGCGAGGCAGAAAUGCGUAGCUGAUGGGAAGCAGGUCAAUAUUCCUGCACCAUUGUUAGAUGCGAUGGGGGGACGGAUCGCGGAAGGUUGUCCGGGUGUUGGAAGUCCCGGUCGCUGCAUUGGAGAAGGCGCUUAGGCAAAUCCGGGCGCG